CAUUAGCAUCUGUACUAGGGGUGCAACGGAUCAAAAAACUCACGGUUCGGAUCGUUCCUCGGAUCAGAGUCACGGAUCGGAUCAUUUUUCGGAUCAGCAAAAAAAAAAUAGCGUUUGUGAUUGCUUUAGCCCGGUCUGAUUGUGGAGGAAGGGGCUGCUUAAAUGCCGCGGUGAUGAGCGGUUGUUGAGCCGCUUUCGGUUUCACUCCUGUCAGUGAAACACCGGGGUGAUGUCGCUGUAAAUGCGUGGCCAUGCUCGAUGUGUUUUUCUUUAUGUUAGCAAUCGCUAUGUCAGCUACGUGUUACGUCUGUGUGGUAACCUAGGCGACAGGUUUGUGUGGCAGCGCGAGUAUAUGGAAACAGACGUAACACUGGAGGCAGCAGUUAUCGUUACAGUAGUCACCGAAGUCUAGCCUACUUUUAUUUUCCAUGCCCACUGUUCUUCAUGUUGUACGCUGAGGACAAUAAAUCACAACGAGCCAUAGGACUGUUUGCUUAUUGAAAAGGGAACUGUUGCAGACUUUUACCCAGAGCGUGUUAAGUAGCUCUGUCCCUGGAACUAGCAGGAAUGGUUACGGCUGUGUGUGGACUGAACAUGCGCACAAUUUUUUUUUUUCAUAAAUCAAUCCGCGGAUCAUGCGUGUGCCGAACCGAAAUAGAUGAUCCGAACGGAUCACGGAUCAAUGAUGAUCCGUUGCACCCCUAAUCUGUACCGUAGCGGCCCGUG
Long non-coding RNA from Gadus macrocephalus (Pacific cod), 726 nucleotides. RefSeq lists it as uncharacterized. The record is from RefSeq and is a predicted model, not a curated record. Lineage: Eukaryota; Metazoa; Chordata; Actinopteri; Gadiformes; Gadidae. The transcript is spliced from 2 exons.